This 253-nucleotide ribosomal RNA is filed under the name uncultured bacterium. Its description in RNAcentral is "partial 16S ribosomal RNA". It matches the Rfam family "Bacterial small subunit ribosomal RNA", at positions 524 to 776 of the family's 1533-position model. The record is from RNAcentral.
UACAGAGGGUGCGAGCGUUAAUCGGAAUUACUGGGCGUAAAGGGUGCGUAGGUGGAUAUAUAAGUGGCGUGUGAAAUACCCGGGCUUAACCUGGGGGGGUCACGUCAUACUGUAUAUCUGGAGUAUAGGAGAGGGGAGUGGAAUUUCCGGUGUAGCGGUGAAAUGCGUAGAUAUCGGAAAGAACACCUGUGGCGAAGGCGGCUCUCUGGCCUAAUACUGACACUGAGGCACGAAAGCAUGGGGAGCAAACAGG